RNAcentral lists this ribosomal RNA (646 nucleotides) under uncultured bacterium. Its description in RNAcentral is "bacterial SSU rRNA". It matches the Rfam family "Bacterial small subunit ribosomal RNA", at positions 188 to 851 of the family's 1533-position model. The record is from RNAcentral.
CAUGGUAGAUAUAUCAAAGAUUUAUCGCUUAGAGAUGGACUCGCGUCCGAUUAGUUAGUUGGUGAGGUAACGGCUCACCAAGACCGCGAUCGGUAGCCGGACUGAGAGGUUGAACGGCCACAUUGGGACUGAGACACGGCCCAGACUCCUACGGGAGGCAGCAGUGGGGGAUAUUGCGCAAUGGGGGAAACCCUGACGCAGCAACGCCGCGUGAAGGAUGAAGGUCUUCGGAUUGUAAACUUCUUUUAUUAAGGACGAAGAAAGUGACGGUACUUAAUGAAUAAGCUCCGGCUAACUACGUGCCAGCAGCCGCGGUAAUACGUAGGGAGCAAGCGUUGUCCGGAUUUACUGGGUGUAAAGGGUGCGUAGGUGGCUUUGCAAGUCAGAUGUGAAAUCUAUGGGCUCAACCCAUAGCCUGCAUUUGAAACUGCAGAGCUUGAGUGAAGUAGAGGCAGGCGGAAUUCCCCGUGUAGCGGUGAAAUGCGUAGAGAUGGGGAGGAACACCAGUGGCGAAGGCGGCCUGCUGGGCUUUAACUGACGCUGAGGCACGAAAGCGUGGGUAGCAAACAGGAUUAGAUACCCUGGUAGUCCACGCUGUAAACGAUGAAUACGAGGUGUGGGGGGUCUGACCCCUUCCGUGCCGGAG